RNAcentral lists this ribosomal RNA (654 nucleotides) under Streptomyces sp. 221. Its description in RNAcentral is "bacterial SSU rRNA". It matches the Rfam family "Bacterial small subunit ribosomal RNA", at positions 69 to 739 of the family's 1533-position model. Lineage: Bacteria; Bacillati; Actinomycetota; Actinomycetes; Kitasatosporales; Streptomycetaceae. The record is from RNAcentral.
CCGAACCACCUCCGGGUGGGGAGGAGUGGCGAACGGGUGAGUAACACGUGGGCAAUCUGCCCUGCACUCUGGGAUAACUCCGGGAAACCGGAGCUAAUACCGGAUACGACUCUCCAGGGCAUCCUGGGGGGUGGAAAGCUCCGGCGGUGCAGGAUGAGCCCGCGGCCUAUCAGCUGGUUGGUGGGGUGACGGCCCACCAAGGCGACGACGGGUAGCCGGCCUGAGAGGGCGACCGGCCACACUGGGACUGAGACACGGCCCAGACUCCUACGGGAGGCAGCAGUGGGGAAUAUUGCACAAUGGGCGCAAGCCUGAUGCAGCGACGCCGCGUGAGGGAUGACGGCCUUCGGGUUGUAAACCUCUUUCAGCAGGGAAGAAGCGCAAGUGACGGUACCUGCAGAAGAAGCACCGGCUAACUACGUGCCAGCAGCCGCGGUAAUACGUAAGGUGCGAGCGUUGUCCGGAAUUAUUGGGCGUAAAGAGCUCGUAGCGGCCUGUCGCGUCGGAUGUGAAAGCCCGGGGCUUAACCCCGGGUCUGCAUUCGAUACGGGCAGGCUAGAGUUCGGUAGGGGAGAUCGGAAUUCCUGGUGUAGCGGUGAAAUGCGCAGAUAUCAGGAGGAACACCGGUGGCGAAGGCGGAUCUCUGGGCCGAUC